This 143-nucleotide non-coding RNA is filed under the name Heterosigma akashiwo. The record is from RNAcentral. Lineage: Eukaryota; Raphidophyceae; Chattonellales; Chattonellaceae.
GGAAGUGGGAAAAAGAAAAGAAAAAGGGAAAAGAAAACUCCGACCAAGGUUGCUGAAAUUUCUUUGAAUGACUCCACCGAAACCGGCAUCCGGCGCAGAAAGGGUAGCAAAGCAGAGGAAACAGGGAGCGCAGUAGGUGCAGC